Molecule: long non-coding RNA, 1119 nt
Filed under: Homo sapiens (human)
Lineage: Eukaryota; Metazoa; Chordata; Mammalia; Primates; Hominidae
Description: non-protein coding lnc-ANXA2-1:5
Source: RNAcentral
GGGCACAACCCCGAGCUGGUUGCACUAACACACAGGCUGGGGGAAAUGAGUACACUGGCCAGUGUUGGGAUCAGGGAGGAGAGAUUCUGUGUGUUCUGGGGUGCCGAUGAGCAGAAGCUGGCUGCUCUGGGGGUUGACAUUUCUCAGUGGGGCCACGCGAUUCUUCACUGCAUGGGACAGAUCCAGGACUGCAAAACAACAGCACCUCAGUCAUUGUCACAACCAGCGUGUCGCCCCAUUCCACAUGCCCCUUGGGGGCAAGGAAGACAGUAAUCAACUGAACCUCAAAAUCUCUAAAACUCCAUCAUGGGAGACGUGGGACUUCUCCUUCUGGUCCACUCAUUUUGAUGAAAGAAUUUCAAGAAAGGCCUUUCCCUUGCAAUGGGAACAUCUUGGCUUCCUGCUGCCUUUCCAGGAUCAGGUCACCACUUCAGGUCUCAUCUACAGGAGUGACAUGUUAGGAGGAAAUAUUCCCUGGGCAGCUUUUGGAUGACUUUUUAAUCACUUGUGCCUCUACACCUUGAAAGAUGGAAAAAUGAGGAAUUUCUUUUCAAGUGGGCUGUUUAUGUUCCUGCCAAAUUAUUAUGUUUCUGCUUCUAGCUUUCACUAAUGGUAGGUCUUGAUGUACAAUGUCCACGGACAGCCUGGGGCACGAGAAUGGCCUCUCUCGACUCUGACGGGGCUUCCCCAAGGCCCUCUGUGUCCUCUCUGGGACCCAGGCACAGGGCUCCCUUCACGCUUCUUUCCUUUGGGGGAAUGGUUAGGUAUGAAAUUUAAUCAUUUUGGGCUGCUAGCCUAAGGUUGUUAAGCAGCACAUGUUGAUCAUAGGAGUAAUUACUAAGGGCUGCAUACCCCAGAAUGAUUUAUAACCUGCGAUCUAAAGCAAAAAAAAAAAAAAAAAAAUUCUCACUUGUCAGAUCUCUUUCUUCCCUCGCCCUGCUCCAAAUGUGCUGAUGAUAAUUAAUCCACUUCUGAGCACCUCAUCUGCCAUGAGGUGUCUCCUCCUGCCCCUGCUGGAAGAUACCUCUAUAGAUCUACACAUAGAGUGGGCUCCAUGUACUAAAUCCACACAAAGGGCCAUCCCGCCCUUCUCAGCUCACAUUUUAUAACGCUCAGUCU